Molecule: ribosomal RNA, 1099 nt
Filed under: Escherichia coli
Lineage: Bacteria; Pseudomonadati; Pseudomonadota; Gammaproteobacteria; Enterobacterales; Enterobacteriaceae
Description: partial 23S ribosomal RNA
Rfam family: Bacterial large subunit ribosomal RNA
Source: RNAcentral
GGAAAGGCGCGCGAUACAGGGUGACAGCCCCGUACACAAAAAUGCACAUGCUGUGAGCUCGAUGAGUAGGGCGGGACACGUGGUAUCCUGUCUGAAUAUGGGGGGACCAUCCUCCAAGGCUAAAUACUCCUGACUGACCGAUAGUGAACCAGUACCGUGAGGGAAAGGCGAAAAGAACCCCGGCGAGGGGAGUGAAAAAGAACCUGAAACCGUGUACGUACAAGCAGUGGGAGCACGCUUAGGCGUGUGACUGCGUACCUUUUGUAUAAUGGGUCAGCGACUUAUAUUCUGUAGCAAGGUUAACCGAAUAGGGGAGCCGAAGGGAAACCGAGUCUUAACUGGGCGUUAAGUUGCAGGGUAUAGACCCGAAACCCGGUGAUCUAGCCAUGGGCAGGUUGAAGGUUGGGUAACACUAACUGGAGGACCGAACCGACUAAUGUUGAAAAAUUAGCGGAUGACUUGUGGCUGGGGGUGAAAGGCCAAUCAAACCGGGAGAUAGCUGGUUCUCCCCGAAAGCUAUUUAGGUAGCGCCUCGUGAAUUCAUCUCCGGGGGUAGAGCACUGUUUCGGCAAGGGGGUCAUCCCGACUUACCAACCCGAUGCAAACUGCGAAUACCGGAGAAUGUUAUCACGGGAGACACACGGCGGGUGCUAACGUCCGUCGUGAAGAGGGAAACAACCCAGACCGCCAGCUAAGGUCCCAAAGUCAUGGUUAAGUGGGAAACGAUGUGGGAAGGCCCAGACAGCCAGGAUGUUGGCUUAGAAGCAGCCAUCAUUUAAAGAAAGCGUAAUAGCUCACUGGUCGAGUCGGCCUGCGCGGAAGAUGUAACGGGGCUAAACCAUGCACCGAAGCUGCGGCAGCGACGCUGAUGCGUUGUUGGGUAGGGGAGCGUUCUGUAAGCCUGCGAAGGUGUGCUGUGAGGCAUGCUGGAGGUAUCAGAAGUGCGAAUGCUGACAUAAGUAACGAUAAAGCGGGUGAAAAGCCCGCUCGCCGGAAGACCAAGGGUUCCUGUCCAACGUUAAUCGGGGCAGGGUGAGUCGACCCCUAAGGCGAGGCCGAAAGGCGUAGUCGAUGGGAAACAGGUUAAUAUUCCUGUACU